Molecule: small nucleolar RNA, 124 nt
Filed under: Echinops telfairi (small Madagascar hedgehog)
Lineage: Eukaryota; Metazoa; Chordata; Mammalia; Afrosoricida; Tenrecidae
Description: Small nucleolar RNA SNORA61 (ENSETEG00000025929.1)
Source: RNAcentral
AACCUCCAGAUUCCUUCUUCUUUGGGUCUAAAUAUGGGUCUAGCUGGCUAAAAACAAAGAAGGGAAAGUAAAUGUGAAAUGGACUUCAAGUCUUUAGUGACAUACAUGUUUAUUUCAAACACAU